Molecule: ribosomal RNA, 1455 nt
Filed under: uncultured organism
Description: SSU rRNA
Rfam family: Bacterial small subunit ribosomal RNA
Source: RNAcentral
GGCCUAACACAUGCAAGUCGAACGGUAACAGGAAACAGCUUGCUGUUUCGCUGACGAGUGGCGGACGGGUGAGUAAUGUCUGGGAAACUGCCUGAUGGAGGGGGAUAACUACUGGAAACGGUAGCUAAUACCGCAUAAUGUCGCAAGACCAAAGUGGGGGACCUUCGGGCCUCAUGCCAUCAGAUGUGCCCAGAUGGGAUUAGCUAGUAGGUGGGGUAAUGGCUCACCUAGGCGACGAUCCCUAGCUGGUCUGAGAGGAUGACCAGCCACACUGGAACUGAGACACGGUCCAGACUCCUACGGGAGGCAGCAGUGGGGAAUAUUGCACAAUGGGCGCAAGCCUGAUGCAGCCAUGCCGCGUGUGUGAAGAAGGCCUUCGGGUUGUAAAGCACUUUCAGCGGGGAGGAAGGCGGUGAGGUUAAUAACCUCAUCGAUUGACGUUACCCGCAGAAGAAGCACCGGCUAACUCCGUGCCAGCAGCCGCGGUAAUACGGAGGGUGCAAGCGUUAAUCGGAAUUACUGGGCGUAAAGCGCACGCAGGCGGUCUGUCAAGUCGGAUGUGAAAUCCCCGGGCUCAACCUGGGAACUGCAUUCGAAACUGGCAGGCUAGAGUCUUGUAGAGGGGGGUAGAAUUCCAGGUGUAGCGGUGAAAUGCGUAGAGAUCUGGAGGAAUACCGGUGGCGAAGGCGGCCCCCUGGACAAAGACUGACGCUCAGGUGCGAAAGCGUGGGGAGCAAACAGGAUUAGAUACCCUGGUAGUCCACGCCGUAAACGAUGUCGAUUUGGAGGUUGUGCCCUUGAGGCGUGGCUUCCGGAGCUAACGCGUUAAAUCGACCGCCUGGGGAGUACGGCCGCAAGGUUAAAACUCAAAUGAAUUGACGGGGGCCCGCACAAGCGGUGGAGCAUGUGGUUUAAUUCGAUGCAACGCGAAGAACCUUACCUGGUCUUGACAUCCACAGAACUUAGCAGAGAUGCUUUGGUGCCUUCGGGAACUGUGAGACAGGUGCUGCAUGGCUGUCGUCAGCUCGUGUUGUGAAAUGUUGGGUUAAGUCCCGCAACGAGCGCAACCCUUAUCCUUUGUUGCCAGCGGUCCGGCCGGGAACUCAAAGGAGACUGCCAGUGAUAAACUGGAGGAAGGUGGGGAUGACGUCAAGUCAUCAUGGCCCUUACGACCAGGGCUACACACGUGCUACAAUGGCAUAUACAAAGAGAAGCGACCUCGCGAGAGCAAGCGGACCUCAUAAAGUAUGUCGUAGUCCGGAUUGGAGUCUGCAACUCGACUCCAUGAAGUCGGAAUCGCUAGUAAUCGUAGAUCAGAAUGCUACGGUGAAUACGUUCCCGGGCCUUGUACACACCGCCCGUCACACCAUGGGAGUGGGUUGCAAAAGAAGUAGGUAGCUUAACCUUCGGGAGGGCGCUUACCACUUUGUGAUUCAUGACUGGGGUGAAGUCGAA